RNAcentral lists this unclassified non-coding RNA (253 nucleotides) under uncultured Moraxellaceae bacterium. RNAcentral describes it as "contains 16S-23S intergenic spacer region". It matches the Rfam family "Bacterial small subunit ribosomal RNA", at positions 524 to 776 of the family's 1533-position model. Lineage: Bacteria; Pseudomonadati; Pseudomonadota; Gammaproteobacteria; Moraxellales; Moraxellaceae. The record is from RNAcentral.
AACGUAGGAGACGAGCGUUAUCCGGAAUGAUUGGGCGUAAAGCGUUUGUAGGUGGCUUUUUAAGUCGGAUGUGAAAUCCCUGAGCUUAACUUAGGAAUUGCAUUCGAUACUGGGAAGCUAGAGUAUGGGAGAGGAUGGUAGAAUUCCAGGUGUAGCGGUGAAAUGCGUAGAGAUCUGGAGGAAUACCGAUGGCGAAGGCAGCCAUCUGGCCUAAUACUGACGCUGAGGUACGAAAGCAUGGGGAGCAAACAGG